GUGAGCGAGAACCAUGUUGGUGGA
RNAcentral lists this non-coding RNA (24 nucleotides) under Cricetulus griseus (Chinese hamster). Lineage: Eukaryota; Metazoa; Chordata; Mammalia; Rodentia; Cricetidae. The record is from RNAcentral.